This 72-nucleotide transfer RNA is filed under the name Wolfiporia cocos. RNAcentral's name for it is "tRNA-Gly". It matches the Rfam family "tRNA". Rfam says of the family: Transfer RNA (tRNA) molecules are approximately 80 nucleotides in length. Their secondary structure includes four short double-helical elements and three loops (D, anti-codon, and T loops). Lineage: Eukaryota; Fungi; Basidiomycota; Agaricomycetes; Polyporales; Phaeolaceae. The record is from RNAcentral.
AUGAGUAUAAUUUAAUUGGUAAAAUGUCUUCCUUCCAAGAAGAAAUAGUCUGUUCGAGUCAGAUUACUCAUA